CACGAUCAUACCGCAUACGUCCUACGGGAGAAAGCAGGGGAUCUUCGGACCUUGCGCUAUCGGAUGAGCCUAUGUCGGAUUAGCUAGUUGGUGAGGUAACGGCUCACCAAGGCCGCGAUCCGUAGCUGGUCUGAGAGGAUGAUCAGCCACAUCGGGACUGAGACCCGGCCCGAACUCCUACGGGAGGCAGCAGUGGGGAAUAUUGGACAAUGGGCGAAAGCCUNGAUCCAGCCAUGGCCGCGUGUGUGAAGNAAGGCCCUCGGGUUGUAAAGCACUUUCAGCGAGGAAGAACGCUUGCGGGUUAAUACCCUGCAAGAAAGACAUCACUCGCAGAAGAAGCACCGGCUAACUCCGUGCCAGCAGCCGCGGUAAUACGGAGGGUGCAAGCGUUAAUCGGAAUUACUGGGCGUAAAGCGCGCGUAGGCGGCUUGAUAAGCCGGUUGUGAAAGCCCCGGGCUCAACCUGGGAACGGCAUCCGGAACUGUCAGGCUAGAGUGCAGGAGAGGAAGGUAGAAUUCCCGGUGUAGCGGUGAAAUGCGUAGAGAUCGGGAGGAAUACCAGUGGCGAAGGCGGCCUUCUGGACUGACACUGACGCUGAGGUGCGAAAGCGUGGGUAGCAAACAGGAUUAGAUACCCUGGUAGUCCACGCCGUAAACGAUGUCGACUAGCCGUUGGGGUCCUCGAGACCUUUGUGGCGCAGUUAACGCGAUAAGUCGACCGCCUGGGGAGUACGGCCGCAAGGUUAAAACUCAAAUGAAUUGACGGGGGCCCGCACAAGCGGUGGAGCAUGUGGUUUAAUUCGAUGCAACGCGAAGAACCUUACCUACUCUUGACAUCGAGCGAACUUUCCAGAGAUGGAUGGGUGCCUUCGGGNAACGCUCAGACAGGUGCUGCAUGGCCGUCGUCAGCUCGUGUUGUGAAANUGUUGGGUUAAGUCCCGUAACGAGCGCAACCCNUUGUCCCUAUUUGCCAGCGANUUCGGUCGGGAACUCUAGGGGAGACUGCCNGGUGACAAACCGGAGGAAGGUGGGGACGACGUCAGGUCAUCAUGGCCCUUACGAGUAGGGGCUACACACGGUGCUACAAUGGCCGGGUACAAUGGGCUGCCAUCCCGCGAGGGGGGAGCUAAUCUCAUAAAGCCGGGUCUCAGUCCGGAUCGGGAGUCUGCAACUCGACUCCGUGAAGUCGGAAUCGCUAAGUAAUCGUGAAUCAGAAUGUCACGGUGAAUACGUUCCCG
RNAcentral lists this ribosomal RNA (1237 nucleotides) under Halomonas sp. Its description in RNAcentral is "bacterial SSU rRNA". It matches the Rfam family "Bacterial small subunit ribosomal RNA", at positions 159 to 1376 of the family's 1533-position model. The record is from RNAcentral. Lineage: Bacteria; Pseudomonadati; Pseudomonadota; Gammaproteobacteria; Oceanospirillales; Halomonadaceae.